RNAcentral lists this unclassified non-coding RNA (359 nucleotides) under soil metagenome. Its description in RNAcentral is "partial contains 5.8S ribosomal RNA, internal transcribed spacer 2, and large subunit ribosomal RNA". The stretch from base 4 to 121 matches the Rfam family "5.8S ribosomal RNA", at positions 37 to 154 of the family's 154-position model. The record is from RNAcentral.
GAUUGAAGAACGUAGCGAAAUGCGAUAAGUAAUGUGAAUUGCAGAAUUCAGUGAAUCAUCGAAUCUUUGAACGCACAUUGCGCCCGUCAGUAUUCUGGCGGGCAUGCCUGUUCGAGCGUCAUUACGCCCCUCAAGUCCCCUGUGGACUUGGUGUUGGGGAUCGGCGAGGCUGGUUUUCCAGCACAGCCGUCCCUUAAAUUAAUUGGCGGUCUCGCCGUGGCCCUCCUCUGCGCAGUAGUAAAACACUCGCAACAGGAGCCCGGCGCGGUCCACUGCCGUAAAACCCCCCAACUUUUUAUAGUUGACCUCGAAUCAGGUAGGACUACCCGCUGAACUUAAGCAUAUCAAUAAGCGGAGGA